This is a long non-coding RNA of Cervus elaphus (red deer), 1401 nucleotides long. RefSeq lists it as uncharacterized. Lineage: Eukaryota; Metazoa; Chordata; Mammalia; Artiodactyla; Cervidae. The transcript has 3 exons. The record is from RefSeq and is a predicted model, not a curated record.
GUAAAUAUGGUUGUAAUAAGUAUGCUUUUACUGUAGUUUGGGUUAUUUCUCCAGGGUGGAUUUCCAGAAGUGGGAUUUCUGGAUCCGAGAAGAAGUGAAGAAACCAGUAUUCAUGAAGACAAGGAAGUUCCUGUCAGCUACUGCAGAUGGACCACCCAAAGGUACAUCAAAUUUAUGGAAGAAGUAUUCAUCUUGGAUAAAGGAGAUACAAGAUCAUUUCAACCAAAGACAGAAUGAUGUUUCCAGAUAAUCAAUAAUACCUCCUCUUUGUUAAAGAGCCAGUUGGGCAAUAAAGGAAACGUCCUCUUCCAGUUUUACAGAUUGGCUGGUUUUGUCUUUCAUGUUCAUUGUCAGAGACUUAGGCUGUAGCAGAAGUAAAUUCAAGACACACCUAGCUAGUGCAUUAUUUGGAAGUUUUUGGUUGUAGGUGACAUAGAACUCAAGUGGAAGCAGCUUAAACUCUAGGUUUAUUUAUUAUCUCAUGUAACAAAUGUCCUGGAAGGAGGUGUUUCCAAGAUUGGUUGAUUCAGCAGCUCGGUGACUUCAAGUCUUUGUAUAACUACAUCCAGAGAGGUGAAAAAGAAACUGUACCUGUCCUGCAUUCUUAAAGCCUGAGGAAAACCUAUCUAGAAACUACCACUCAAAAAAAAAAAAAAAAAAAUAGAAACUACCACUCACAUCUCCUUGGCCAGAAUUGUUUCCAUGGCUCAACUGGGAAUGGGCCCUGGGAAAACUAUCACCAUGGUAAUGAGCUCUGACCCAUCAUAUUUCACCUCGGUUCUGGAGAAGAGCCCAGCCUCCUUUGGAGAUCAUGGACAGCCUAGGAAGGUGGACAAGGCCUGAGUUUUACUAGCUAGAAGAAAGGGAAGUGGGAAGGGUUGUUGGUUGGGCCACACAGGAGGGUUCAGAGAAGGUGGCCUGGAACAUUUCUUAUCUACACAUUAGCAACUUCAUUGAAGAAUGUUGCUAUUAAGUGUGUAACACUGACAUGAGGGAAAAAGUUAGAAGACUUUAGAAAAGGGUAAACCAUCUUAUUUUCAAAUUGGCUUUAGGAUAGAAUUUGCCUGGAAGGAAACCAUGGUUCCAGAGGAGUGGGCAAGUGCUGGAGCUGUCUUACCCUGGUACCUCUGCCGGUUUUGGUGAAGGUUACUCUUUUUUUCCCCCUCUGAGAUUUCAAGAAGAUUCUUGCUCUAAUUUCUACUACAUGUCUUGUAAGAAAACUGUAGCUGAUUGUGGAAGAGUCUUGUAUAGAGGGAGUUGGGUCCUAAGUUGGUUUAAAAAUAUAAGAUCAUGUAUAGCCAAAAUCUCCUUGGAAUGAUCCCUCAAGUUGACUAUAGAGAAUGGUGUCUAUGAUGUUGUACUUCUUAUUCUGUAGAGCAGUAUCUAGGUAUAAAUAUAUAA